Physeter macrocephalus (sperm whale) is the source of this 331-nucleotide long non-coding RNA. RefSeq lists it as uncharacterized. The transcript has 3 exons. The record is from RefSeq and is a predicted model, not a curated record. NCBI's taxonomy places the organism in Eukaryota, Metazoa, Chordata, Mammalia, Artiodactyla, Physeteridae.
CAGCAGGCCCUAUCCUCAUCAUCUGGGACUUGCAUCACUGCUGUACCAUCCAUCAGAAAUGGUCCUAAAAGCCUGGUGUCAGUAGAUUGGCUUUGCGGUGCAUCAGCAAGUGGACUCAAGUUUGGGGACACGGGUUCGAGCCCUGGUCUGGGAAGAUCCCACAUGCCACGGAGCAACUAGGCCCGUGAACCACAACUACUGAGCCUGCGCGUCUGGAGCUUGUGCUCCGCAACAAGAGAGGCAGCGACAGUGAGAGGCCCGUGCACUGCGAUGAAGAGUGGCCCCCGCUCGCCGCAACUGGAGAAAGCCCUCGCACAGAAACGAAGACCCA